RNAcentral lists this ribosomal RNA (230 nucleotides) under uncultured bacterium. RNAcentral describes it as "partial 16S ribosomal RNA". It matches the Rfam family "Bacterial small subunit ribosomal RNA", at positions 562 to 791 of the family's 1533-position model. The record is from RNAcentral.
AAAGGGUGCGUAGGCGGUUUAUUAAGUCAGUGGUGAAAGACGGUCGCUCAACGAUUGCAGUGCCAUUGAUACUGGUAGACUUGAGUGGGAUUGAGGUAGCUGGAAUGGAUAGUGUAGCGGUGAAAUGCAUAGAUAUUAUCCAGAACACCAAUUGCGUAGGCAAGUUACUAAGUCUCAACUGACGCUGAGGCACGAAAGUGUGGGUAUCAAACAGGAUUAGAUACCCGUGU